Molecule: non-coding RNA, 30 nt
Filed under: Mus musculus (house mouse)
Lineage: Eukaryota; Metazoa; Chordata; Mammalia; Rodentia; Muridae
Source: RNAcentral
UAGGUUUUGAUAUUGCAGUUGAAUGCUUCU